CGAGUGGGGAAUAACCUAGGGAAACCUGGGCUAAUACCGCAUAACACUUACGAGUCAAAGCAGCAAUGCGCUUGAGGAGGGGGUCGCGGCAGAUUAGCUAGUUGGUGAGGUAAUGGCUCACCAAGGCAGUGAUCUGUAUCCGGCCUGAGAGGGCGCACGGACACACUGGAACUGAAACACGGUCCAGACUCCUACGGGAGGCAGCAGUGGGGAAUUUUGCGCAAUGGGGGAAACCCUGACGCAGCAACGCCGCGUGGAGGAUGAAAUCCCUUGGGAUGUAAACUCCUUUCGAUCGGGAAGAUAAUGACGGUACCGAGAGAAGAAGCCCCGGCUAACUUCGUGCCAGCAGCCGCGGUAAUACGAGGGGGGCAAGCGUUGUUCGGAAUUAUUGGGCGUAAAGGGUGCGUAGGCGGUUUGAUAAGUUUGGUGUGAAAUCUCUGGGCUCAACCCAGAGUCUGCACCGAAAACUGUCGGGCUUGAGUAUGGGAGAGGUGAGUGGAAUUUCCGGUGUAGCGGUGAAAUGCGUAGAUAUCGGAAGGAACACCUGUGGCGAAAGCGGCUCACUGGA
Molecule: ribosomal RNA, 568 nt
Filed under: Granulicella sp.
Lineage: Bacteria; Pseudomonadati; Acidobacteriota; Terriglobia; Terriglobales; Acidobacteriaceae
Description: bacterial SSU rRNA
Rfam family: Bacterial small subunit ribosomal RNA
Source: RNAcentral